UGUUUUUUAGACAGAAUUUUCUUAUAAUUUGCCAAAAUGAAGAUUUUACUAUUUGUUUAUCAAAAAUAUAAUAAAAAGUAUGGGUCACCGUGCUAUUUUUCAAGUUAUGAGUCGUUGAAAAUUGCCUAGAUUUGGUUAGUUUGUUCAUGAAAAAACACAUAAGAGUGCAUAAAAAAAAUUCUAUGAGAUAGAAUUUUGAAAUAAAUUGUGAGGAGAUAGGUUUCAUAAUAUCUUUUAAGAAAUAAAAAGAAAACAUGGUGUCACCUAACUUGUUUUCUUGCCACCAGUAAAAAUUAAAAAAAUCCCUAUUAGCCCAGUAUAAAUUUUGCACUAAAAGAGUUAUCUUCCCUUAAAUGGCUCAUUUGAAAGAAAUGAUUUAAAAACCAAAAAGGUUGAUAUUUGUUAAAAUAUUUUGAAU
RNAcentral lists this long non-coding RNA (418 nucleotides) under Mytilus galloprovincialis (Mediterranean mussel). The record is from RNAcentral. Lineage: Eukaryota; Metazoa; Mollusca; Bivalvia; Mytilida; Mytilidae.